CUACCAUGGCAAUCACGGGUAACGGGGAAUUAGGGUUCGAUUCCGGAGAGGGAGCCUGAGAAACGGCUACCACUUCUAAGGAAGGCAGCAGGCGCGUAAAUUACCCAAUCCCAAUUCGGGGAGGUAGUGACAAGAAAUAACAACUCGGAUCCUUCGGGAUUACGAGAUUGCAAUGAGAACAAUUUAGACCACUUAACGAGGAUCCAUUGGAGGGCAAGUCUGGUGCCAGCAGCCGCGGUAAUUCCAGCUCCAAUAGCGUAUAUUAAAGUUGUUGCAGUUAAAAAGCUCGUAGUUGAACUUCUGAUUAUCGUUUCAGCUGGCUUCGGUCGCUGAACCGGUGAUCAUCCGCUUGGGAAUUACGUUCGAACUUCACUGUUCGGCGUAGGGAACAGGCAUUUUACUUUGAAAAAAUUAGAGUGUUCAAGGCAGGCUAUCGCCCUGAAUACACAAGCAUGGAAUAAUGAAAUAGGACUACUUCCAUUUUAUUGGUUAUUGGAAAUAGUAAUGAUUAACAGGGACAGUUGGGGGCAUUAGUAUUUAAUUGUCAGAGGUGAAAUUCUUGGAUUUAUUAAAGACUAACUUAUGCGAAAGCAUUUGCCAAGGAUGUUUUCAUUAAUCAA
RNAcentral lists this ribosomal RNA (620 nucleotides) under Ciliophora sp. RNAcentral describes it as "SSU rRNA". It matches the Rfam family "Eukaryotic small subunit ribosomal RNA", at positions 341 to 980 of the family's 1831-position model. The record is from RNAcentral. Lineage: Eukaryota; Ciliophora.